GUAGAGUUGUGGUGUGUCGGUGGCUUCGUUUGAGCCAAGAAACUGGCGAGAAGUUGCCGCCUAAAGCAGCUCUCAUUCUCUCAUCGUUGGUCGAUUGGGACCAUUGCAUAGUGUGAACGCCCGCUCGGGU
This 130-nucleotide non-coding RNA is filed under the name marine eukaryotic metagenome. RNAcentral describes it as "purD RNA motif". It matches the Rfam family "purD RNA motif". The record is from RNAcentral.